UACCUUAAACGUGAUUGUUUCCGCUGC
RNAcentral lists this small RNA (27 nucleotides) under Bombyx mori (domestic silkworm). Its description in RNAcentral is "ovarian small RNA-20920". Lineage: Eukaryota; Metazoa; Arthropoda; Insecta; Lepidoptera; Bombycidae. The record is from RNAcentral.